RNAcentral lists this long non-coding RNA (314 nucleotides) under Elaeis guineensis (African oil palm). RNAcentral describes it as "long non-coding RNA (EGUI_LNC006101)". The record is from RNAcentral. Lineage: Eukaryota; Viridiplantae; Streptophyta; Magnoliopsida; Arecales; Arecaceae.
GUCACAAAAAAGAUUUAAUAUAUUCUUCACAAUAUCUGCAUUCAAAAGACUGGAAAAAAAAAUAGAUUCUAUGCUGAAUUUUCUCCCACCGAUGACUCGACAUCUAUACAAAGCAUUUUCUUAUAUCUGUUAACCUCCUCUUGCAAUGCAUCGUAAUCAUUUUUCAAAUCUCUAUAUGUAUCGACGGUCAAAUCAUAAAUUCGUUUCAUGGUUCUAUGUCUGAUAUCGAGAUCAUCAUAAGCUGCAUUGAUUCCUCGAUACUGAUAUUUGUAGUAUUCUUUAUCUCCGUAAUUAUAAUCAUCGACUUCAAAUCC